AAAAGGACAUCAACCAAAAUGGGCUAGAGUUUUGAACAGCUGUAUUGAGAAAAAAGAAGUUCACAAAUAAUUUAAUAAUAAUAUUUAAUGAAUUUUGAUUUCUAUUCGGGAGUGUAAAUAUAAAUAAUAUUAAAUAAGAAUAAAAACAGUUUUGUAAUUGAUUAUUGUUAUUAUUGGUGACACUGCCAUGACAACAGUUUUGUGACAGUUCUUUUUCGUAUUUAUAUUGUGAAUAUUAUUUCGAUUUUGGCUAUUUUUGACGACUGUGCUAUUCAAAAUGGAUUCUGGUGAUUUUCUAUCCGAUAACCCCGGCUCACUCUUGGACUCAGUACCCGCUCAAACGUUAACCCUGGCAACGAAGCCGCUUUACAUGAGGACGACCCCGUAAACUUGGACUUUCCGAUUUUGCCUAGUGAAUCUAUAUAUUGUGUCAAUUGUGGAACUGAAAUCACUCACAGGAGAAGACACAAUGUUAAUCUUGUGGAAGUGCAGCGAGUUAUACUGCAAUGGAUCGCACCACAAGUGUUUAAUGUGUACAGAGAGCCGGUCUGCUGUUUUCUAAACAACGUUUUUCGUAUGAAAAUUGAAGGCCCUUGAAGCGUUCGUGUUGGAUAUUAUUUUUUUCUGUGUCAGCGUCGUGAUCAGCAAUGGAUUUGAGGAUGGAGCAUUUGAGGAUAAUUAUUGAUAACGGUAAUAAGAUGGUUGCCGUGACAAAGAUUACACAAAUUAUGGAAGGCUUAUACGACAAGUAAGUUUUUUAUGCCCCCAUAUAAGUCAUUUGGUACAAGUAGAUAAAAUUUUGCUUUUAAAAUUUAUUCACACAUUCAAGAGGUUAUGACGACACCUCCAUAAAAUUUCACAAUAAAAUAUUUCAAUAAAUACAGAUUUCACAACUACUUUUUUGCAUUACAUUACGUAGUCUACUCCCCAAAAAA
Spodoptera frugiperda (fall armyworm) is the source of this 935-nucleotide long non-coding RNA. RefSeq lists it as uncharacterized. Lineage: Eukaryota; Metazoa; Arthropoda; Insecta; Lepidoptera; Noctuidae. The transcript has 3 exons. The record is from RefSeq and is a predicted model, not a curated record.